Molecule: ribosomal RNA, 373 nt
Filed under: uncultured bacterium
Lineage: Bacteria
Description: bacterial SSU rRNA
Rfam family: Bacterial small subunit ribosomal RNA
Source: RNAcentral
GGGGGGGGCAAGCGUUGUUCGGAAUUACUGGGCGUAAAGGGUUCGUAGGUGGCCCGCUAAGUCACACGUGAAAUCCCUCAGCUCAACUGGGGAACUGCGUGUGAGACUGGCAGGCUCGAGUGCAGGAGAGGAACGCGGAAUUCCAGGUGUAGCGGUGAAAUGCGUAGAUAUCUGGAGGAACACCGGUGGCGAAGGCGGCGUUCUGGACUGUAUCUGACACUGAGGAACGAAAGCCAGGGGAGCAAACGGGAUUAGAUACCCCGGUAGUCCUGGCCCUAAACGAUGAAUGCUUGGUGUGACGGGUAUCGAUCCCUGUCGUGCCGCAGUUAACGCGUUAAGCAUUCCGCCUGGGGAGUACGGUCGCAAGGCUGAA